CCAAUAGCGUAUAUUAAAGUUGUUGCAGUUAAAAAGCUCGUAGUUGAAUUUCGGGAUCAAUAUGCUGGUCGUGCCAUUGGUACGUACUAGUAUUAUUGGUUUCUUCCUUCUGAUGAAUCAUGAUGUCAUUAAGUUGAUGUCAUGGGGAAUCAGGACUGUUACUUUGAAAAAAUUAGAGUGUUUAAAGCAGGCUCGCGCUUGAAUACAUUAGCAUGGAAUAAUGAAAUAGGACGUUUGAUUCUAUUUUGUUGGUUUCUAGGAUUGACGUAAUGAUUAAUAGGGUUAGUUGGGGGCAUUAGUAUUCAAUUGUCAGAGGUGAAAUUCUUGGAUUUAUUGAAGACUAACUACUGCGAAAGCAUUUGCCAAGGAUGUUUUCAUUAAUCAAGAACGAAAGUUAGGGGAUCGAAGACGAUCAGAUACCGUCGUAGUCUUAACCAUAAACUAUGCCGACUAGGGAUCGGAUGAUGUUAAUUUUUUAAUGACUCAUUCGGCGCCUUACG
RNAcentral lists this ribosomal RNA (500 nucleotides) under uncultured Glomeromycotina. RNAcentral's name for it is "partial small subunit ribosomal RNA". It matches the Rfam family "Eukaryotic small subunit ribosomal RNA", at positions 591 to 1092 of the family's 1831-position model. The record is from RNAcentral. Lineage: Eukaryota; Fungi; Glomeromycota.